Molecule: unclassified non-coding RNA, 90 nt
Filed under: Pseudomonas thivervalensis
Lineage: Bacteria; Pseudomonadati; Pseudomonadota; Gammaproteobacteria; Pseudomonadales; Pseudomonadaceae
Source: RNAcentral
UGUGGGAGCGAGCUUGCUCGCGAUGGCAAUCCAUCAUUCAGCAUCAAUGCCGGCUGACACACCGCUAUCGCGAGCAAGCUCGCUCCCACA